This 472-nucleotide ribosomal RNA is filed under the name uncultured bacterium. RNAcentral describes it as "bacterial SSU rRNA". It matches the Rfam family "Bacterial small subunit ribosomal RNA", at positions 329 to 793 of the family's 1533-position model. The record is from RNAcentral.
CUACGCACUCCGUACGGGAGGCAGCAGUGGGGAAUAUUGCACAAUGGGCGCAAGCCUGAUGCAGCCAUGCCGCGUGUAUGAAGAAGGCCUUCGGGUUGUAAAGUACUUUCAGCAGUGAGGAAGGUGGGUAUGUUAAUAGCAUACUCAUUUGACGUUAGCUGCAGAAGAAGCACCGGCUAACUCCGUGCCAGCAGCCGCGGUAAUACGGAGGGUGCGAGCGUUAAUCGGAAUUACUGGGCGUAAAGCGCAUGCAGGUGGUUUGUUAAGUCAGAUGUGAAAGCCCGGGGCUCAACCUCGGAAUUGCAUUUGAAACUGGCAAACUAGAGUACUGUAGAGGGGGUAGAAUUUCAGGUGUAGCGGUGAAAUGCGUAGAGAUCUGAAGGAAUACCGGUGGCGAAGGCGGCCCCCUGGACAGAUACUGACACUCAGAUGCGAAAGCGUGGGGAGCAAACAGGAUUAGAUACCCUGGUAG